RNAcentral lists this ribosomal RNA (379 nucleotides) under uncultured bacterium. Its description in RNAcentral is "bacterial SSU rRNA". It matches the Rfam family "Bacterial small subunit ribosomal RNA", at positions 28 to 413 of the family's 1533-position model. The record is from RNAcentral.
GACGAACGCUGGCGGCGUGCUUAACACAUGCAAGUCGAACGAUGAAGCCUUCGGGUGGAUUAGUGGCGAACGGGUGAGUAACACGUGGGCAAUCUGCCCUGUACUUUGGGAUAAGCCUUGGAAACGGGGUCUAAUACCGGAUAUCACUUCUGACCGCAUGGUUGGUUGUUGAAAGUUCUGGCGGUACAGGAUGAGCCCGCGGCCUAUCAGCUUGUUGGUGGGGUAAUGGCCUACCAAGGCGACGACGGGUAGCUGGUCUGAGAGGAUGGCCAGCCACAUUGGGACUGAGAGACGGCCCAGACUCCUACGGGAGGCAGCAGUGGGGAAUCUUGCGCAAUGGCCGAAAGGCUGACGCAGCGACGCCGCGUGUGGGAUGAAG